CUUAUCAUUUAGAGGAAGGAGAAGUCGUAACAAGGUUUCCGUAGGUGAACCUGCGGAAGGAUCAUUGUCGAUGCCUCAAGCAAUCCGACUCGUGAACAUGUUUGCUUACUUGGGGUUGGUUUGGAGUGUGAAAACACGACUGCCUCCCCCGGUGAGGAGGCGGCCACGCUUUGUGGCUGUCUCUUAGCCUUCAACAAACCCACGGCGCUACAUGCGCCAAGGAAAUCUAAUUCGUUCAAUGAGCUCCUGCCAGCCCGGAAACGGUGCUGCGCGGGUGGCUUUGUGAUCUAUUAUUCAAAAUGACUCUCGGCAACGGAUAUCUCGGCUCUUGCAUCGAUGAAGAACGUAGCGAAAUGCGAUACUUGGUGUGAAUUGCAGAAUCCCGUGAACCAUCGAGUCUUUGAACGCAAGUUGCGCCCGAAGCCAUUAGGUUGAGGGCACGCCUGCCUGGGUGUCACACAUCGUUGCUCCAAUGCCAACGUCUCCUUUUGGGGUCGUUGGGGAGUGUAUGUUGGCUUCCCAUGAGCUUUGUCUCAUGGUUGGUUGAAAAUCAAGUCUGUGGUGGGAGUGCACCGCGAUUAUUUGGUGGUUGAGUAAAAGCUCGAAACCAAUCGUGCGUGGCUCUUGCAAGGUUUCAGACUUUGUGACCCAUAUGCAUCCUUGAUGCUCAUAACGAGACCUCAGGUCAGGCGGGGCUACCCGCUGAGUUUAAGCAUAU
RNAcentral lists this unclassified non-coding RNA (718 nucleotides) under Indigofera stachyodes. RNAcentral describes it as "partial contains small subunit ribosomal RNA, internal transcribed spacer 1, 5.8S ribosomal RNA, internal transcribed spacer 2, and large subunit ribosomal RNA". The stretch from base 302 to 457 matches the Rfam family "5.8S ribosomal RNA". Lineage: Eukaryota; Viridiplantae; Streptophyta; Magnoliopsida; Fabales; Fabaceae. The record is from RNAcentral.